AGUGAACGCUGGCGGUAGGCCUAACACAUGCAAGUCGAACGGCAGCACAGUAAGAGCUUGCUCUUACGGGUGGCGAGUGGCGGACGGGUGAGGAAUACAUCGGAAUCUACUUUUUCGUGGGGGAUAACGUAGGGAAACUUACGCUAAUACCGCAUACGACCUACGGGUGAAAGCAGGGGAUCUUCGGACCUUGCGCGAUUGAAUGAGCCGAUGUCGGAUUAGCUGGUUGGCGGGGUAAAGGCCCACCAAGGCGACGAUCCGUAGCUGGUCUGAGAGGAUGAUCAGCCACACUGGAACUGAGACACGGUCCAGACUCCUACGGGAGGCAGCAGUGGGGAAUAUUGGACAAUGGGCGCAAGCCUGAUCCAGCCAUACCGCGUGGGUGAAGAAGGCCUUCGGGUUGUAAAGCCCUUUUGUUGGGAAAGAAAAGCAGCAGGUUAAUACCCCGCUGUUCUGACGGUACCCAAAGAAUAAGCACCGGCUAACUUCGU
RNAcentral lists this ribosomal RNA (491 nucleotides) under uncultured bacterium. Its description in RNAcentral is "partial 16S ribosomal RNA". It matches the Rfam family "Bacterial small subunit ribosomal RNA", at positions 29 to 506 of the family's 1533-position model. The record is from RNAcentral.